This 409-nucleotide ribosomal RNA is filed under the name bacterium. Its description in RNAcentral is "partial 16S ribosomal RNA". It matches the Rfam family "Bacterial small subunit ribosomal RNA", at positions 355 to 776 of the family's 1533-position model. The record is from RNAcentral.
UGGGGAAUAUUGCACAAUGGGGGAAACCCUGAUGCAGCAACGCCGCGUGCGGGAUGACGGCCUUCGGGUUGUAAACCGCUUUCAGCCAUGACGAAGCUUUUGUGACGGUAGUGGCAGAAGAAGCACCGGCUAACUACGUGCCAGCAGCCGCGGUGAUACGUAGGGUGCGAGCGUUGUCCGGAAUUAUUGGGCGUAAAGAGCUUGUAGGCGGUUUGUCGCGUCGAAAGUGUAAACUCAGUGCUUAACGCUGAGCCUGCUUUCGAUACGGGCUGACUAGAGGAAGGUAGGGGAGAAUGGAAUUCCCGGUGGAGCGGUGGAAUGCGCAGAUAUCGGGAGGAACACCAGUGGCGAAGGCGGUUCUCUGGACCUUUCCUGGCGCUGAGAAGCGAAAGCGUGGGUAGCAAACAGG